UGAUCAGGUAGGGACGGUAUCCAACCAGAAAGCCACGGCUAACUACGUGCCAGCAGCCGCGGUAAUACGUAGGUGGCAAGCGUUGUCCGGAUUUAUUGGGCGUAAAGCGAGCGCAGGCGGUUUCUUAAGUCUGAUGUGAAAGCCUUCGGCUCAACCGAAGAAGUGCAUCGGAAACUGGGAAACUUGAGUGCAGAAGAGGACAGUGGAACUCCAUGUGUAGCGGUGAAAUGCGUAGAUAUAUGGAAGAACACCAGUGGCGAAGGCGGCUGUCUGGUCUGUAACUGACGCUGAGGCUCGAAAGCAUGGGUAGCAAACAGGAUUAGAUACCCUGGUAGUCCAUGCCGUAAACGAUGAGUGCUAGGUGUUGGAGGGUCUCCGCCCUUCAGUGCCGCAGCUAACGCAUUAAGCACUCCGCCUGGGGAGUACGACCGCAAGGUUGAAACUCAAAGGAAUUGACGGGGGCCCGCACAAGCGGUGGAGCAUGUGGUUUAAUUAGAAGCAACGCGAAGAACCUUACCAGGUCUUGACAUCCUUUGACCACUCUAGAGAUAGAGCUUUCCCUUCGGGGACAAAGUGACAGGUGGUGCAUGGUUGUCGUCAGCUCGUGUCGUGAGAUGUUGGGUUAAGUCCCGCAACGAGCGCAACCCUUAUUACUAGUUGCCAGCAUUAAGUUGGGCACUCUAGUGAGACUGCCGGUGACAAACCGGAGGAAGGUGGGGACGACGUCAAAUCAUCAUGCCCCUUAUGACCUGGGCUACACACGUGCUACAAUGGAUGGUACAACGAGUUGCGAGACCGCGAGGUUUAGCUAAUCUCUUAAAACCAUUCUCAGUUCGGAUUGUAGGCUGCAACUCGCCUACAUGAAGCCGGAAUCGCUAGUAAUCGCGGAUCAGCAUGCCGCGGUGAAUACGUUCCCGGGCCUUGUACACACCGCCCGUCACACCAUGAGAGUUUGUAACACCCAAAG
This 967-nucleotide ribosomal RNA is filed under the name Latilactobacillus sakei. RNAcentral's name for it is "bacterial SSU rRNA". It matches the Rfam family "Bacterial small subunit ribosomal RNA", at positions 459 to 1426 of the family's 1533-position model. Lineage: Bacteria; Bacillati; Bacillota; Bacilli; Lactobacillales; Lactobacillaceae. The record is from RNAcentral.